RNAcentral lists this ribosomal RNA (432 nucleotides) under uncultured bacterium. Its description in RNAcentral is "partial 16S ribosomal RNA". It matches the Rfam family "Bacterial small subunit ribosomal RNA", at positions 29 to 506 of the family's 1533-position model. The record is from RNAcentral.
AACGAAGGCUGGCGGCAUGCCUAACACAUGCCAGUCGAACGAGACCUUCGGGUCUAGUGGCGCACGGGUGCGUAACGCGUGGGAACCUGCCCUUAGGUUCGGAAUAACUCCCCGAAAGGGGUGCUAAUACCGGAUAAUGUCUUCGGACCAAAGAUUUAUCGCCUUUGGAUGGGCCCGCGUUGGAUUAGCUAGUUGGUAGGGUAAAAGCCUACCAAGGCGACGAUCCAUAGCUGGUCUGAGAGGAUGAUCAGCCACACUGGGACUGAGACACGGCCCAGACUCCUACGGGAGGCAGCAGUGGGGAAUAUUGGACAAUGGGCGAAAGCCUGAUCCAGCAAUGCCGCGUGAGUGAUGAAGGCCUUAGGGUUGUAAAGCUCUUUUACCCGGGAUGAUAAUGACAGUACCGGGAGAAUAAGCUCCGGCUAACUCCGU